This 443-nucleotide ribosomal RNA is filed under the name uncultured bacterium. RNAcentral's name for it is "partial 16S ribosomal RNA". It matches the Rfam family "Bacterial small subunit ribosomal RNA", at positions 338 to 795 of the family's 1533-position model. The record is from RNAcentral.
CCUACGGGAGGCAGCAGUGGGGAAUAUUGGGCAAUGGGCGCAAGCCUGACCCAGCAACGCCGCGUGAAGGAAGAAGGCUUUCGGGUUGUAAACUUCUGUUCUCAGGGACGAAGAAAGUGACGGUAUCUGAGGAAUAAGCCACGGCUAACUACGCGCCAGCAGCCGCGGUUAUACGUAGGGGGCAAGCGUUAUCCGGAUUUAUUGGGUGUAAAGGGCGUAUAGGGGGGGGCGCGAGGCAGAUGUGAAAACACAGGGCUCAACCCUGGGCAUGCAUUUGAAACUGUGUUUCUUGAGUGCUGGAGAGGCGAUCGGAAUUCCGUGUGUAGCGGUGAAAUGCGUAGAUAUACGGAGGAACACCAGUGGCGAAGGCAGAUUGCUGGACCGUAACUGACGCUGAGGCGCGAAAGCGUGGGGAGCAAACAGGAUUAGAUACCCCUGUAGUC